Daucus carota subsp. sativus is the source of this 795-nucleotide long non-coding RNA. RefSeq lists it as uncharacterized. The transcript has 3 exons. NCBI's taxonomy places the organism in Eukaryota, Viridiplantae, Streptophyta, Magnoliopsida, Apiales, Apiaceae. The record is from RefSeq and is a predicted model, not a curated record.
GUUAUUGCCACCGAUCAAUACUCUUUUGUUUUUCUUCAGCCACGUAAUACACCUCCUGCAGUCACCUCCUUUUCCCCAAUUUCAAAACCUUCCCUCUGUUAAUCUCUCGACCUCACCGCCUCUUCCCCCCUCACUUCUUCCCUCUCCGCCGCUACAUCCUUACACGCCCUCUCAAUCUCUUCAUCCACAUAAUCACUUAUCCUACGUCUCUCUUCUCUCAGCAGCAGCGCCGCUCUCCUCCGUUUCUCCUUCUACUCGAAGCCGUGCUCCUUCCCCUGGGGCUCUCUCUUAAUUGAUUUCACUUCCUAAUUAGAAGUUCAUCGUGUUCCAUAUUCGUUCGAAUUUAGUUAACUCCGUCGGCAUCGACAACUGAAGUACCGUGUCACUCUUGGAGAAUCAACCGAGACUUGUCUAUCAAGGACAUAUCAAGGACAUUCAGAAGUUUUUAAAUAGCUUUGCGAAUUGAAUGAGGAAUAGUUCCUUAAAACGAAGCUGUGCUGUGAGAUAGUUUGGUAGAAUUAAAUCGGUAUGAAAAUCAGCAGAACUGAGAUAGUGUUAAAGAUGAUUCAUCUGUCUAGGCUGCGCGUAAGAGUAAUGCUAGGCAAGGAUUUCAAGUGAUUAGUUGUAACUGAAUGAUCAGGUAAAGUAUUCAGGAAGAUGUCUGCGAGAUUAGUGGUAAUUAGAGUUGGCUUAAUUUCGCUUCAAAUGUAAAAUAAAUUUAUUAAAUAUUAUCAGCUACUCUGAUAAUUUAGAUUGUAUUGUAAUAAGAUUUAUUAGUUGUGAUUCUGAUUUCAA